GGUACUGCUCUUCGUAGAUCGGCGAGAAGACAGAGGGGGAGAGCGGUACGACGAUGUAGUGGGCGUAAAGAGUGAGUAGGGGGCACGCGGAGGCGAUUGUGAAAUCCCUGGGCUCAACCUGGGAAGUGCAGUCGAUACUGGAGAGCUAGAGUUCGGGAGAGGGUGACGGAAUUCCCGGUGUAGCGGGGAAAUGCGUAGAUAUCGGGAGGAACAUCGAUGGCGAAGGCAAUCACCUGGGCCUGAACUGACACUGAGACACGAAAGCGUGGGUAGCAAACAGGAUUAGAUACCCUGGUAGUC
This 300-nucleotide ribosomal RNA is filed under the name uncultured Desulfurococcus sp. RNAcentral's name for it is "bacterial SSU rRNA". The stretch from base 53 to 300 matches the Rfam family "Bacterial small subunit ribosomal RNA", at positions 548 to 795 of the family's 1533-position model. Lineage: Archaea; Thermoproteati; Thermoproteota; Thermoprotei; Desulfurococcales; Desulfurococcaceae. The record is from RNAcentral.